Molecule: long non-coding RNA, 472 nt
Organism: Oncorhynchus tshawytscha (Chinook salmon)
Lineage: Eukaryota; Metazoa; Chordata; Actinopteri; Salmoniformes; Salmonidae
Source: Ensembl
GUACAGAGUCCAUAUGGAGGCUAUAUGCAGCAGAUUCCGGUACAGAGUCAAUAUGGAGGCUAUAUGCAGCAGAUUCCGGUACAGAGUCAAUAUGGAGGCUAUAUGCAGCAGAUUCUGGGAAAGAAUCAAUAUGUAGGCUAUAUACAUCAGGUUCCAGUACAGAGUCAAUAUGGAGGCUUUACACAGCAGGUUCCGGUACAGAGUCAAUAUGGAGGCUAUAUACAGCAGGUUCCGGAACUGAGUCAAUAUGGAGGCUAUAUACAGCAGAUUCCGGUACAGAGUCAAUAUGGAGGCUAUAUACAGCAGAUUCCGGUACAGAGUCAAUAUGGAGGCUAUAUGCAGCAGAUUCUGGGAAAGAAUCAAUAUGUAGGCUAUAUACAGCAGGUUCCGGUACAGAGUCAAUAUGGAGGCUUUACACAGCAGGUUCCGGUACAGAGUCAAUAUUGAGGCUAUAUGCAGCAGAUUCCGGUAC